UCCGAUCACGGGAAAAAAGCUCACAGUUUUCAGAAGAAACAAAGAAAGCGAGCGUGAAUUUUCCUUGAUUUUUUGGGAGACUCACCUAAGUUAUCCCCGCCUCCAAAAUCGUGACGAACAAUCCAGCCGCUGCUAGUACCGACGAGCAGGACAUUGUUUCCAGCGGCUACUGAGGUGACAAGCCCGUGACCUUUGGCGGCGUUUUGCUCCAGCACAUCCAAGCUGAAGAUCUUGAUCUCUGGCCUCGACAGUGAAAUCGCCUGGAAAUCCUGCGAGGAAUUGGAUCAGCGAUCGACGAUUCAGCUCAAUCUCACCUCGUUGAGCCCCGAUUGAGCGGGCGAAGACGACGUCCAUUCAUCCAGCAUUGCUGCCUAAACCCUAAUCUCGCCCAGGUGUAAGAAUUAUGAACCUAAUGUAAAAAGGUAAAGUAGAUUUCGUUUGACCAUAAGCAUCUUUUACAACUUAGAUGUACAAAUUGGGUUUUACUAAAUCUGCUCUCGCUUCAAAUUUAAGAGUUUGUUUUUAGGAUAAGUUUGAAAACUAAUUAAAUAUAAAUUGGUGCUAGAUUAUAAAUUUAGAUGUGAUCAUUAUGUUUAAGAUAAUUCUUAUAUUCUGUAUAAUUGGCAAAUUUAGACACUUUUCAUAAAUAGCUAAUAAGUUUAAAAUUUGACCAAAUGGGAAACUACAACAAAAGUGUCUUGAUAAAUAUAAUAAACUAUUACAUAAUAAAUAAUGAAAGGUUAAGCUCAAUAUGAAAAUGGUUUUUAACACUAAUUUAACAAUAUACCAUAUCAAAUAUAUUUUGUUAGAUGACAAUUUACAACUUCAUUCUUUAGUGCCCUUCUAGAUUAUGUACCACUGACUAGUCUCUCAACUAGUUUGAAUGGAAACUCUAGCAAUACCAAUUUCCUACUAUCAUGUUAGUAAAAAAAAUUUAUCUAAAAAGAUUAAUAGAUAAAUUUUGAUACCCACAAUACCCAUUUGUUUUGUGACAAUAACAUAUCUCAAAUAACUUUUUAUAUGGCUCAAUUUGAUGUUAAUUGUGUUAACUCUCUCCACCUUGUGCAAACAAUUGUCCUUUAGGAAAAUCUUUUUAUUUCCUAGAACAAAUCUCCUCCCCCUACCUUAUAUGAAAGCAUGUUCUAGGCUUUCACCCCAGUUGUAAGAGUUUGUCUCAUUAAAUAUAGAAUGAUGUUAGAUUAUGAAUUUAGAUGUAAGAAUAAUACUAUUGUGUUCAAGACAAUUUUUAAAUCUGUAAAUAUGCCCAAUUAACAAAUUUAAACACCUUUUAUAAAUAACCAAUAGGACCAAACAGGACCAAACAUAGAAAAUGAUAACCAAGACUUAAGUUCGCCUUAGAAUUUUUUAUGCAAAGCCAAUACCAUAGCACCUCAUUCAUGCCAAGGAGAACACCAUAUGAGGUUUGGUAUGGCAUUAAACUGGAUGUGAGUCUUUGCAAGUAGUGUUCAGGAAACACAAGGAUAAGUUUAAAAAGUUUCUCUAACUGAAGUCAACAAAGGACAAUUAGGCCACAUGUAAUAUUGCACAAUAGAGCUGGAGGAUGGUGACAAUCAAGGGAAUUUAGCAGGACAACAAGGGUGAUGCAUCAAGUGGGGAUGGUGUUGGAGACAACAGAAAUAGUGGAUCCAGUUGGUCCCAAGAUGGCAAAUCCAUUGGUUGCAAGGAGGAAAGUCAUAAGAAUGAAGUUCCCAGAAAGCAUCAAGGGUAUGAUCCCAAGCAUAGAGGCAGAAAAGGUAGUGAUAGAUAGGAUUCCAUACACAUAGAUGGUGGGUGGACUAGUCUACUUCAUAGGGAGUAUUCUUGGCAAAUCCUGACUUUCCAUAUCAAACUGGUGUUAUGUCCUUGAAGGGAAUAGCAAAUUCUGUUUUGUGUUACACAAGACAAGCAAUUUCAGCUCAAGCUGCUAGGAUACUCAAAUGUGGAUUGAGUAGGAGAAGUUGAUAAGCAACUUCUAGCUACGUCUUCAAUGCAAUAGUUAUAUGGGGUAGCCUAGGGAUGACACAAGCAAUCAAGGAGAUCCUCUGACUCAAAACUUUGCUCCAUAGCUUGAGCUACAAGCAGGGAGAGGCAACUCUCCCUAAUUAUGGCAAUCGAGGAACCAUUGUGUUGCCUAAGAGUUCAUGGAUUCAUAGCAAGACAAAGUAAUCCAGCAAAAAUGGUGGACAUAUUCAUGAAGCAAUAUUUGCACAACACACACAAGCUCUUGGGGUGCAGACAGCUUAGCUUAAGUGGGAAUAUUAAGGGAAUGUUCCAACUUCCCUCAAGACCAAGUUGACUCUGGCACUGUCUCAAGAGCUCUGUGCGGGAGGGAUCUUGGGGAUAAGCUGCUCGUCCAUGGCUUUGAAAGAUGCCCUGUUGAGCUUGGGGAAACUCUAACAGUGAGAUAGUCACUGCAGCCCUUGUGAUGGCUUGUGAAUCAAAAGAUGCUAGACUUUUGAUGAUCUUGCAUGACAGGUUAGUGUCCAAGACCUUAGAGUCUUACAAUUUGGGCAAACACUCCAGAUUUCAUAAGACCCAUGUUGUAUAUCCAAGGUGAGGGCUAUGUAGACCAGCAACAGAAGAAGCAGUGAACAUCUUCUUGAGAUAUUUUAUUUGCUAGAUUUAAGCAUUAUUAAUUGAGAAUAAAUAAGAAAUCUACUUUUCUUUUGCUAAUCAGGAGCAAAACACUACACUCGCACAUGCAAAAAGUUUGGCAUCAUGAAAGACUAGAGAAUGAAUCAGCACUCACCUCUUAGACAGCCAAGAAAAAAGCUUAAUCCAAUAUAUCUUUGGAAAGGAUAAAAAUUACAUGUUUCAUUUUUGAAACCAAAGCCAAGAUUCUGGAAUGCUUGUUGGCUCUGCUAGGUACUAUUAGGUUUUUAUUGACAAAAUAAAAUAAUUUGUUAUGCGUUGCAUGUAGCAAUAUCUGGUUUGCUUAAUAGUAGUGUUAUUUCUACUUAUUAAUCCAAUUGAUCAAAUAAAACUUUAUAAUUAUAAAUAUGUUUAUAAUUUUUAAACACAAGAUUAACCAUUAGAAUAAAAAAUAAUAUAUUAGAAAGUGUUUAUGAAAAUUUAUUUAUUAUAAAAAUGUUUAUAAAUUAUAAAUACAAAAUUAAUCUAAAUGAAUAAUAAUCAUUGGCAAAAUAUCCUAGAAUAUCCAAACAUAUUUAUGUAUAUUCACUACCACCCUAUACAGCUUAAGCAAACCAAAAAAAGAAGAGACACAACUAACAGCCAUGGUGAUAGAGCCUGUUGGAGAAGCAAUCCACAGAUCCAAUAAUCUGAUUGCUCAGCUGAUCAAACCAGGAGGUAAAUACUGUGUAUGUAUCUGCUGUUUUAAAUCUUUGUGACACUCUGCCAAAUCUAGAGACAUACAUAUACCUCAGCCUGCGUGCGUGUGAGGGAGGGGGGGAAAUAUAUAUAUAUAUAUUUCCUCUAGACCCUUAACUCAGAUAAACAUUGACUGAUUGUUGCUUGGACGACAAUUAUUAGUUGGGAAACCGUACAAUCCUUAUUUCAAGGUAUGUAUGUGUCUUCAGAUACAAAAACGAAGAGCCUUUAUAUUUUCCAAAGGUCUACCGGAUUCAAUUCAUUGCUUGGUCCGACUGCACUCGCGUCCUGUUUCUCCAGGAUGACAAGAACGGGAUAACUGGAGGUGAGUACUGUCAUCAAGGGCCUGAAACAUACACGAGUUUUCUUGUCUGAUUAAAGUAUAAUUCCCAGACAAAAAACAUUAUGCCUUAGGACUUAGAAUUAUUCAAAAAGAAAAGUCCACGGUAGACUUUUCCCACGCUAUACCUUUCCAAGAUCACGAGCAAAGCAAUGGUGCGGUGCUGGUAGUGAUCACCAACGGGCAUGGCAGCAGCGACUUUGCUCGAGGCGAUUCGAAUCGCGGACAAGGUUGGCACAAUAUCCACUUCGAGCAAGGUCUGUAGAAACCAAUGUAGGAUCCUCAUCGCGGCAGUCGGCUAUGUCCGAGACUACCUCAGGCAAAUCCAGGAUCUCAACUUCGCGAGCAACGAGCCAGCCUUCGUGUGGGACGAAACCGUGGUUGUCCUUAAGAGAGGCAUCCAUCUCCUCAAGUCGUGCCAAGAAGGCAAUUGGAUUGCCCGGAGCCUGCUGUUCAAGGAAAGCUGCGAUGAGUUCCAGAGCAUUUAUCCCGAGAUCUUCAACUGCGUCGAGCUCGUCAGCGUCUAUCUCUUUCAGCUGGCAGCGUCCACCUCGCACAGAUCCAGGAUUUCCCAGGCUUACAACUCGUGCCUCAUGAGGCAGAACUCGAGCAGCAUACUGGAAGAAGCCGGAAGGAACGAUCAGAAGGAGCUCAUGACUCUCGCAAUGAGCCAAGAGCCGGGAAGCCUGACGACCGAGAGCGAACGAGCCAAAGAGAUACUCUGCUCCAUGCUCCUGGGAAACAAGUCAGUGAUUAACCACAAAGAACUCAAGCUGACAACACACCUGGGACAAGGAGGUUUCGGAACCGUGUACGAAGCAAUCUGGCUCGGUCACAAGUUUGCAGUGAAAGUCUUCCCUCAAGGUGACAAGAGCUUCGCCAAAGAGCUCGCGGUUCUUCAAGCGGACAAGCAUCCCAACGUGUUGCACAUCGCCAGCCAGUCUUUCGAUGAAGAGAAGCAGCGGUACUCGCUGGUGAUGGAGAAGAUGGACAUGGACCUGGAAAACUACGUCCUCAAGAAGAAGAAGUCUCUCCCGUUGCUGUCGAUCAUGGCAGUGAUGCUCCAAGUUGCUACUGGCAUGGCGUGGCUUCACUCGAAGAAUAUAAUCCACCGGGACCUCAAGCCGCAGAACAUCUUGGUUGGCGAAGAAGACAACGAUCUCGUGAGUAUCAGGAUUGCCGACUUUGGAGUCUCGAGGCCAAACUUCAUCUCCUCCCAGAUCGAAGCCGUUAGCAUCCAAGGCACCAGGAACUUCAUGGCACCGGAAGUGUGUAGCGGCGAGCGCUACACGAAAAAGGCCGACGUUUACAGCUACGGGAUGUUGAUUUACCAGCUUGUCACUGGAAACGUUCCGUUCGAGGACGGGAUGGACAUGGAGCAAGUCCUUCAAGGCGAGCGUCCUGAGAUACCAGCCACCUGUCCGGAGUUCCUGUCGCAGCUCAUGCGGGAAUGCUGGAGCCACGAUGCGAAAGAGAGGCCUUCCUUCUCGGAUAUCUGCGAGCGGCUGAGGCAGCUCAAGACCAGGAUCAUCACUGGCAUCGAGUCCAUCGACGAGUUACGGGCCAAGUUGGUUGAAGUAGCCGGGUCGUCUUCUUCUUCUUCGUACUCGUCGUCUUCCUCAUCCUUGUCGCACAGCAGGACUCGAGUGAACCUGGAUUCUUUUGUCCAAGCGACUGAAGGGCUUUGGACCAAAAAUCCUCCAUCUCCCCUUGUACAGGUAAACUCUUUUGUUUUUAGUAACUUCCGGUGCUCAUUGCGUUUAGUUUCAGCCGGUACCACACCGUCCUCAGCACGUCGCACCAGUAGCAAAACCGGAUAACAGGACCGAGCUCUUCGAAGUGGUGAAGAACGGCCUCGUCAAAAACGCCUUCGAGAAAGCUCUGUCCCUGAACGAUCCUUCCACGGUCUGGUGGCUUUGCACCAAGGUAAUCCAUUCACGUCCUCCAGCUGCUCAUCAAAGCUUUGUCAGCUCAGGUGGAGCAUACCGUCCUGCUCGUCUUCAGUGAAUCAAUGCUCAUGGAACUGGCCGAGCAAAUCAACACCAACUUCAAGGAAGACACUGCUCGCAGGUUGCUCUGGAUCGACGAGAUUGGCAUCUUGCUGUUCAAGGACGUCAAUGGACAGGCAUGGUCAUCACCUCGGAUGCUGAGGAUCCUGGAGCAGCUUUCACAGAACCUCCACGGCAUGAUGGCUAUAACACCGCCAAAGAGCGAGCUGGGGAUGAAGCUGGCGAACAUGCUGGGCGGCACCAACGUGGGUCUCCAGGUUCGUAUGAAGCUCUUCGUGUUAUUCGUUUGAUUCAAAUCGUUUGUCGUCGCAGCGUAUCCGCGUUGCAGUUGACAACAAAGUUCAACACAUGGGACUCCUCGGAGGAUACUUUCCAGCGGAACACCGGUAGUUUCGGAGUAUUUCGAUGUUCUAAUUUCCUGCCUGCCAAAAGCAUCAACCAUGCUUCACGAAAGAACCAUAAAGAACUUGCCAAUUCCCGUUCUGAACUUUGAGUGAACGCCUAUCAUCGUUUCAUCCUGCGACAAAUAUCCAAGAACAAAGCUCUCACCAUUCUUGAGUAGACGGUGAAGAUCCCAACCUUUUCGAUCUAGCAGCAGCAGUAGCAAGCAGCCUUGGCAGCUUCCGCAGCAGCGUAGACACCAGUAAUUCUCGUCGCCACAGCAUCGAGGAUCAUUGCUCUCCGCUCAAAGAACGACUUUGCCACUUUCAGCUUCUCGGAUCCCCAUAGGCUUGUAGACGAUCCCGGCAGCUAGCCGCUGCUUCAUGACCUUGGCUGGACGAACGUAAGCAUCGCCCAGCUUGGCCUUCAAUCUCUUCAAGCGCUUUUGGGUACAGCAACCCACCUGAAAAUCCGAUCGUCCGCAUGACCACCACCACCGCCUCCCGCUUUGUUGCGCUUGCCCGGAUUCUUGGAGCCGGUGCUCUCGCCGUGCAAGGACGAGGAAUUUGCUGGAGCCACACCAGCAAGCGCCUUGUCUUGCUCUUUGGUCCCUUCCUUCUCGGCGUGCUCGGACCAGAGAUCACGCGAUCCAAUCGGGCCAUAGGUGCGAACAAUGCUGAGUACAUCGGCAGAUCCUUGGGUCUCUUCUUGGCGUAGAGGAAGGGAUUGGAGAUCGUGGAUGUAGAGGCAAGAACACAAAAGGAACUAGAAUCGAACUAGAAUCGAGGCCAUUUCUUAUGGCUGAUUAAAAGCCAUUUCUUAUGGCUGAUUAAAGUAUAAUUCCCACAAAAGAAAAGUCCACGGUAGACUUUUCCCACGCUGCAAAGCAAUGGAGCGGCGCUACUGGUGAUCACCGACGAGCAUGGCAGCAGCGACUUUGCUCGAGGCGAUUCGAAUCGCGGACAAGGUUGGCACAAGAUCCACGAACACAAACUCGAGCAAGGUCACCACUGCUGCUCCGGAGAUUUGCUAGACAGUGCCUUCCACUGGGAUCCAGGAAAACCUUACAAACGUAUUGAUCGGCUCCGCGGCUCAACGCCAACUCUAUCGGAUCACGGGAGAAAAGCUCACAGUUUUCAGAAGAAACAAAGAAAGCGAGCGUGAAUUUUUCUUUAUUCUUUUGGAGACUCACCUGAGUUAUCCCCGCCUCCAAAUUCGUGAUGAACAAUCCAGCUGCUGCUAGUACUGACGAGCAGGACAUUGUUUCCAGCGGCUACUGAGGUGACAAGCCCGUGACCUUUGGCGGCGUUUUGCUCCAGCACAUCCAAGCUGAAGAUCUUGCUCUCUGGCCUCGACAGUGAAAUCGCC
This 7428-nucleotide long non-coding RNA is filed under the name Selaginella moellendorffii. Its description in RNAcentral is "long non-coding RNA (SMOE_LNC001574)". The record is from RNAcentral. Lineage: Eukaryota; Viridiplantae; Streptophyta; Lycopodiopsida; Selaginellales; Selaginellaceae.